AACGAACGCUGGCGGCAUGCCUAACACAUGCAAGUCGAACGAGACCUUCGGGUCUAGUGGCGCACUGGUGCGUAACGCGUGGGAACCUGCCCUUAGGUUCGGAAUAACUCCCCGAAAGGGGUGCUAAUACCGGAUAAUGUCUUCGGACCAAAGAUUUAUCGCCUUUGGAUGGGCCCGCGUUGGAUUAGCUAGUUGGUAGGGUAAAAGCCUACCAAGGCGACGAUCCAUAGCUGGUCUGAGAGGAUGAUCAGCCACACUGGGACUGAGACACGGCCCAGACUCCUACGGGAAGCAGCAGUGGGGAAUAUUGGACAAUGGGCGAAAGCCUGAUCCAGCAAUGCCGCGUGAGUGAUGAAGGCCUUAGGGUUGUAAAGCUCUUUUACCCGGGAUGAUAAUGACAGUACCGGGAGAAUAAGCUCCGGCUAACUCCGUG
Molecule: ribosomal RNA, 433 nt
Filed under: uncultured bacterium
Lineage: Bacteria
Description: partial 16S ribosomal RNA
Rfam family: Bacterial small subunit ribosomal RNA
Source: RNAcentral